This 216-nucleotide ribosomal RNA is filed under the name Glomeromycotina sp. Its description in RNAcentral is "partial small subunit ribosomal RNA". The stretch from base 40 to 216 matches the Rfam family "Eukaryotic small subunit ribosomal RNA", at positions 686 to 864 of the family's 1831-position model. The record is from RNAcentral. Lineage: Eukaryota; Fungi; Glomeromycota.
GGGUCAGUAGGUUGGUCGUGCCACCGGUACGUACUGGUCUCACUGAUUCCUCCUUCCUGAAGAACCGUAAUGCCAUUAAUUUGGUGUUGCGGGGAAACAGGACUGUUACUUUGAAAAAAUUAGAGUGUUUAAAGCAGGCUAACGCUUGAAUACAUUAGCAUGGAAUGAUGAAAUAGGACGAUCGAUCCUAUUUUGUUGGUUUCUAGGAUUGACGUA